This 215-nucleotide ribosomal RNA is filed under the name Campeiostachys nutans. RNAcentral's name for it is "Elymus nutans partial small subunit ribosomal RNA". The stretch from base 46 to 215 matches the Rfam family "Eukaryotic small subunit ribosomal RNA", at positions 693 to 864 of the family's 1831-position model. The record is from RNAcentral. Lineage: Eukaryota; Viridiplantae; Streptophyta; Magnoliopsida; Poales; Poaceae.
GGACUAUCAUGUCGGUUGUGCCUCGGUACGUACUGGUAUUGUUGGUUUCUCCCUUCUGACGAAUCAUGAUGUCAUUUAUUUGGUGUUGUGGGGAAUUUGGACUGUUACUUUGAAAAAAUUAGAGUGUUUAAAGCAGGCUCACGCUUGAAUACAUUAGCAUGGAAUAAUGAAAUAGGACGUUUGACCCUAUUUUGUUGGUUUCUAGGAUCGACGUA